UCUUCCCUGGCUCAGAGGAUAAAGCGUCUGCCUGCAAAGCAGGAGACCCGGGUUCGAUCCCUGGGUUGGGAA
This 72-nucleotide transfer RNA is filed under the name Capra hircus (goat). It matches the Rfam family "tRNA". From Rfam's summary of the family: Transfer RNA (tRNA) molecules are approximately 80 nucleotides in length. Their secondary structure includes four short double-helical elements and three loops (D, anti-codon, and T loops). Further hydrogen bonds mediate the characteristic L-shaped molecular structure. tRNAs have two regions of fundamental functional importance: the anti-codon, which is responsible for specific mRNA codon recognition, and the 3' end, to which the tRNAs corresponding amino acid is attached (by aminoacyl-tRNA synthetases). tRNAs cope with the degeneracy of the genetic code in two manners: having more than one tRNA (with a specific anti-codon) for a particular amino acid; and 'wobble' base-pairing, i.e. permitting non-standard base-pairing at the 3rd anti-codon position. The record is from Rfam by way of RNAcentral. RNAcentral also lists the same sequence under 1 other name. Lineage: Eukaryota; Metazoa; Chordata; Mammalia; Artiodactyla; Bovidae.